ACGGAGGGUGCAAGCGUUAUCCGGAAUCACUGGGUUUAAAGGGUGCGUAGGCGGUUUUUUAAGUCAGUUGUGAAAUUCCCCCGCUUAACGGGAGGGACUGCGAUUGAUACUGAAGAACUUGAAUCAGGUUGAGGUAGGCGGAAUGUGACAUGUAGCGGUGAAAUGCAUAGAUAUGUCAUAGAACACCGAUUGCGAAGGCAGCUUGCUGGACCUGUAUUGACGCUGAGGCACGAAAGCGUGGGGAGCAAACAGGA
Molecule: ribosomal RNA, 254 nt
Filed under: uncultured prokaryote
Description: partial 16S ribosomal RNA
Rfam family: Bacterial small subunit ribosomal RNA
Source: RNAcentral